This 490-nucleotide ribosomal RNA is filed under the name uncultured bacterium. RNAcentral's name for it is "partial 16S ribosomal RNA". It matches the Rfam family "Bacterial small subunit ribosomal RNA", at positions 29 to 507 of the family's 1533-position model. The record is from RNAcentral.
AUGAACGCUAGCUACAGGCUUAACACAUGCAAGUCGCGGGGCAGCAUGGGGGUUGCUUGCAACCCCUGAUGGCGACCGGCGCACGGGUGAGUAACGCGUAUCCAACCUGCCCUUCACCACGGGAUAACCCGGCGAAAGUCGGACUAAUACCGUAUGUUGUCCAUUGACGGCAUCCGAUUUGGACGAAAGGCUUGGCGGUGGAAGGAUGGGGAUGCGUCCGAUUAGCUUGACGGCGGGGUAACGGCCCACCGUGGCUACGAUCGGUAGGGGUUCUGAGAGGAAGGUCCCCCACACUGGAACUGAGACACGGUCCAGACUCCUACGGGAGGCAGCAGUGAGGAAUAUUGGUCAAUGGGCGUAAGCCUGAACCAGCCAAGUAGCGUGCAGGAUGACGGCCCUAUGGGUUGUAAACUGCUUUUAUGCGGGGAUAAAGUGGCCCACGUGUGGGCUUUUGCAGGUACCGCAUGAAUAAGGACCGGCUAAUUCCGUG